UUGGUUCCAAUUAGGUGCUGAUGUUAUUGAUGUUAUUGAUAUGAUAAGACAAAUACAUGAGAUAAAUAUGUUUUAUUAAUCACUAAAUUGUUGCCUUGGAUUCAGAAGUGUUCCAUUUAUUUAUUUAUUCUCUGUACCAUUUUCUUUACCUUUCUUCUGUUAGCGUUCCAAGAGAGGAAACAAAAAGGACUGCCAUUCAGUCCAGGAACAGACUGAGAUUCCCUCUACUGAUGGACAUUGCAUAGCUCCAGUUGGAGAGGUUUCUCCCUCCAUAUCUCAGCCUGUCAAAAAACGAUCCUUGAUUGUCAGGGUCUUUUCAGCAAUGAUGAAGCCAUUCAGGCGCUUCACCAAGAAGAACCUGUAACCUGUUACGCUGCAUGAGGAACUACUUUUGUAACAGCAAGACUUUUGACAAGAGGAAUUUCUGCAUGUCUACCCUUUCAAAGUAUAUUUGAUCAAAUAAAUGGCAAUGAUUUUACAAGAAUUUCAAGUGUUUUGGAAGAUUAGUAAAACUGAAGCAGCUUUUCUCAGAGAA
Molecule: long non-coding RNA, 535 nt
Filed under: Oncorhynchus kisutch (coho salmon)
Lineage: Eukaryota; Metazoa; Chordata; Actinopteri; Salmoniformes; Salmonidae
Description: lncRNA (ENSOKIG00005002982.1)
Source: RNAcentral